AACCGUGCGAAGGUAGCAUAAUCAUUAGUCUCUUAAUAGGGGUCUGGUAUGAAUGGUCGUACGAGAAUUUAACUGUCUUUAUUUUAAAAAUUGAAUUUAACUUUUGAGUUAAAAGGCUUAAAUGUAUUAGGGGGACGAUAAGACCCUAUAAAGCUUUAUACUAUUAAUAAUUUUAGAAGAUUUAGACAAUUAAAUUUUAAAAUUAUUUUAGUAUUGUGCUGGGGCGGCAUGGAUAUUUCAAAGCAACUGUUUAAAGUUUAUAACACUUGUAUGUGUAGUUUAAUUGAUCCUUGGUAGAGAUUAAAAGAUAAAGUUACUUUAGGGAUAACAGCGUAAUCUUUCUUGAGAGUCCAAAUCGAGAGAAAGGUUUGCGACCUCGAUGUUGAAUUAAAAUUCUUUUCUAGUGCAGAAGCUAGGAUAGGAGGUCUGUUCGACCUU
RNAcentral lists this ribosomal RNA (438 nucleotides) under Laomedia astacina. RNAcentral describes it as "partial 16S small subunit ribosomal RNA". It matches the Rfam family "Bacterial large subunit ribosomal RNA", at positions 1944 to 2588 of the family's 2925-position model. The record is from RNAcentral. Lineage: Eukaryota; Metazoa; Arthropoda; Malacostraca; Decapoda; Laomediidae.